CUCAGGAAGGCAGGCCUGGUCAUGCCCCAGAGGACACCUGGGGGAGUGACGGGAUACCUCAGAGAGUCGAUGUGGUUUGUGCCCAGGUUGUGGGGAGGGAAGAGUAAAAACGGGAGCUGAGGAGAGAGUCAGCAGCAGGAAGUGAACGUUGUCCACAUCAAAAAGGUAAAAUGGAAUGUUCCCGUGGGCCUCCAGAAUCCAUGAGAGCACCACCUGGGAGGGAUCAGCUUUACACGUGGGUCAGGACAAAACCAUCCCAUAGGAGUGUCAGUCAGAGGAGGACACCGAGGCCCAGAGAGGGAAGGGGAUUUGCACUUGGCCACAGCUUGUGUUGGCGGCAGCUUAAAGACCGGUCUCUGGGAUCCCAGCAGGAUUAGCCCUGAGCUAACAUCUGCUGCCAGUCCUCCUCUUUUUGCUGAGGAAGACCGGCCCUGAGUCAACAUCCCCGCAACUCUUCCUCUACUUUAUAUGUGGGACACCUACCAUAGCAUGGCGUGCCAAGCGGUGCCGUGCCCGCACCCAGGAUCUGAACCAGCGAACCCCAGGCUGCCAAAGUGGAACAUGAAAACUUAACCACUGCACCAUUGGGCUGGCCCCUUAAGUUAUUUUUGUUGAGUUCAGUAUUUGUAAGAAUUUUACUAAAAUUUUAAAAUAAUCUUUCCCCAACAUGACAAAAAUCCUCCAAAAUGUUCACAUAUAGAAGUAUUUGAGUUUAGAAACCUACAAAUCUAAUCAUAAUUAUUAUCUGUGCUACAUACAUGCAUUAGGUAUUGACUCUAAAAUAACGAGUAAUAUUAAGCACUUCUUACCUUAUCCCAAAAUAUUUUUUUCAUGGCACCUGCUAACAUUAAAAAAAAAUCUUGUGUAUUUCAUCCCUUGAGUAACGUGUAAUAGUUUUUUGGUGCUGAUAUUUGAUUUCUGUAUAAAUGUUCUUCCACGAUGUUACUGAAUUUUGCCAAAUGAAUAAUAUUCUGAUUUCCACACUCUUAAAAUUGGGUGUCUGAAUGCUAGCUAUUGCCUCACCAAAACAGAAUCAUUUAUAUAAUGUUUUUAACAAGAGCACACCAAUAUCUUUUCCCAUUUUAUAUAGUCUCUCUUCUGCAGCACCACCUUUCGGGGUGUCCCAUAUAUCUCGGUUGCUCUUUUCUGUGUUUUCUCUCCUUUUUUUGCCUGUACUUUAAUCUCAAUACUUUCUGCUGCCUGUCUUCCAGUUCAUUAAACCUCUGUUCUGCUGUUUCCAAUCUGCUAUUAAUCCCAUCAAAUGAAUUCUUUUUUAAUAACAACUUGAUUGAAGUACUAUACAUACAAUAAACUGUACCUAUUCAAAGUGUAAAAUUUGAUGAGUUUAGACAUAUGUAUACAUCCAUGAAAACACCACCAUAAUCAAGACUCAGAUCGUUCUCAUCACCCUCAAAAGUUUCUUUGUGCCUCUUUACCUCUCGUUUUUCUCUCCACAUCUGGUCCCAGGCAACCACUGAUCUGCUGUCAUUAUAGAUUAGUUUGCAUUUUCUUGAAUUUUAUAUGGAAUUAUACAGUACGUAUUCUUUUGUUUUUGGCUUCUUUCUCUCAGUAUAAUGAUUUUGAGAUUUGUCUACAUUGUUUAGUGUGUUGGUGAUUCAUCCCUUUUAAUUGCUGGGUAGUAUUCCAUUUCACGGAUUUAAUGCAUUUUUGUUCAUCCAUUCACCUGUUGAUGGGUAUUUGGGUUGUUUCCAGCUUUUUGAUACUGUGAAUAAAGCUGCUAUAAAUAUUCUUUUCCAAGUCUUGGUGUGGACAUAUGUUUUCAUUUCUCUUAGGUAAAUACUUAUGUGAUAGUUUUUUUUUAGGUGUUAACUUUUUGAAGUGAAUAACUUGUCCUCAGUUAUUCUACACUAUUCAACACUAAUCUAAGUGCUGCUAUGAAGGCAUUUUUUGUAGAUAUGAUUAAAGUCCAUAAUUGGUUGACUUUAAGUAAGGGAUAUUAUCCUGGAUAAUCUGGUUGGGCCUGAUUUAACCAGUGAAAAGUCCUGAAAAGCAGAGUUCAGGUUCUCCCGAAGAAGAACUUCUGCCUUGGGACAGCAGCUUCAGCCCUUGCCUGAGUCUCAACCUGAUCUUCCUGAUAGCCCGUCCUAUGGAUUUCAGAUUUGCUUAACCAGUCCUCCUCCCCAC
Molecule: long non-coding RNA, 2145 nt
Organism: Equus caballus (horse)
Lineage: Eukaryota; Metazoa; Chordata; Mammalia; Perissodactyla; Equidae
Source: Ensembl